GCUUGCUCUUAUGAAGUUAGCGGCGGACGGGUGAGUAACACGUGGGUAACCUGCCCAUAAGACUGGGAUAACUCCGGGAAACCGGGGCUAAUACCGGAUAACAUUUUGAACCGCAUGGUUCGAAAUUGAAAGGCGGCUUCGGCUGUCACUUAUGGAUGGACCCGCGUCGCAUUAGCUAGUUGGUGAGGUAACGGCUCACCAAGGCAACGAUGCGUAGCCGACCUGAGAGGGUGAUCGGCCACACUGGGACUGAGACACGGCCCAGACUCCUACGGGAGGCAGCAGUAGGGAAUCUUCCGCAAUGGACGAAAGUCUGACGGAGCAACGCCGCGUGAGUGAUGAAGGCUUUCGGGUCGUAAAACUCUGUUGUUAGGGAAGAACAAGUGCUAGUUGAAUAAGCUGGCACCUUGACGGUACCUAACCAGAAAGCCACGGCUAACUACGUGCCAGCAGCCGCGGUAAUACGUAGGUGGCAAGCGUUAUCCGGAAUUAUUGGGCGUAAAGCGCGCGCAGGUGGUUUCUUAAGUCUGAUGUGAAAGCCCACGGCUCACCCGUGGAGGGUCAUUGGAAACUGGGAGACUUGAGUGCAGAAGAGGAAAGUGGAAUUCCAGGUGUAGCGG
This 620-nucleotide ribosomal RNA is filed under the name Bacillus cereus. RNAcentral describes it as "bacterial SSU rRNA". It matches the Rfam family "Bacterial small subunit ribosomal RNA", at positions 78 to 681 of the family's 1533-position model. The record is from RNAcentral. Lineage: Bacteria; Bacillati; Bacillota; Bacilli; Caryophanales; Bacillaceae.